UUCAUAAAGAGAAAGUAGUACAUAACUUCAAGAUAGAUGCAAAUCCUACAAAGCAAGUGAAACAGAUAUGAAAAAUGAAUCAACUUGCUCUGCCGUCAAAAGACUAGCUCAUUCUUCAAAGAUAGAUCUGUUGUAGCAUCAGAGCUCGUACGGCCCGAAUCUCAUACCAUCGGUGAUGAGCACACACCGAGAAUUUCUCUUUAGCAACAAUGGCUAUGCCAAAAGAUAAAGCGUGCCAAAGUUCGGCGUCCCCAGCACCAUCACCGUGUAUAGAACACAAUAAUACUAAUAAGUUGUAUGAAUACAGAACACGUCUUGAAAAUCCCAGAUCUAUCUCGAGAUUAGGAUAGAAGAGCGUCCGAAUCUAGACCUAGCUCUAGAUCGGGAGAGAAAAGCUGCAAACUAUAUAGCAGUUGAUCACAAAAUCAUAUAAGCCAAAUGCAAAAGAAAACAAAAG
This is a long non-coding RNA of Rhodamnia argentea, 457 nucleotides long. RefSeq lists it as uncharacterized. NCBI's taxonomy places the organism in Eukaryota, Viridiplantae, Streptophyta, Magnoliopsida, Myrtales, Myrtaceae. The record is from RefSeq and is a predicted model, not a curated record. The transcript has 3 exons.